UCAUUUUGUUUGUGACCUGUGAGGAUGAUACUUGGUUUGUGGACCUAUGACCUGUGAUGACUAGCCUGAGGCCAGCGUAUCUCCCCUUGGUUGGAGUGUAUAAGUCAAAACUUAAAAGUUAUUUUUUACUCUUAGGGUUUUAACCUGGUCAUCUCAUGCCAGAUAGAAGCUCUGAUUGGCAGCUUUAGGUUUCUUGAUUAAAAACCUAAAUAAACGCCGAGUGUGAUGGCACAUACCUGUAAUCCCAGUGGCUCAGGAGGCUGAGGCAGG
Molecule: long non-coding RNA, 270 nt
Filed under: Marmota monax (woodchuck)
Lineage: Eukaryota; Metazoa; Chordata; Mammalia; Rodentia; Sciuridae
Source: RNAcentral